This 501-nucleotide ribosomal RNA is filed under the name uncultured bacterium. RNAcentral's name for it is "partial 16S ribosomal RNA". It matches the Rfam family "Bacterial small subunit ribosomal RNA", at positions 30 to 523 of the family's 1533-position model. The record is from RNAcentral.
AUUGAACGCUGGCGGCAGGCUUAACACAUGCAAGUCGAGCGGGGGAAGGUAGCUUGCUACCGGACCUAGCGGCGGACGGGUGAGUAAUGCUUAGGAAUCUGCCUAUUAGUGGGGGACAACAUCUCGAAAGGGAUGCUAAUACCGCAUUCGUCCUACGGGAGAAAGCAGGGGAUCUUCGGACCUUGCGCUAAUAGAUGAGCCUAAGUCGGAUUAGCUAGUUGGUGGGGUAAAGGCCUACCAAGGCGACGAUCUGUAGCGGGUCUGAGAGGAUGAGCCGCCACACUGGGACUGAGACACGGCCCAGACUCCUACGGGAGGCAGCAGUGGGGAAUAUUGGACAAUGGGGGGAACCCUGAUCCAGCCAUGCCGCGUGUGUGAAGAAGGCCUUAUGGUUGUAAAGCACUUUAAGCGAGGAGGAGGCUACUCUAGUUAAUACCUAGGGAUAGUGGACGUUACUCGCAGAAUAAGCACCGGCUAACUCUGUGCCAGCCGCCGCGGUAA